GACCCGUAGCGAACAGCUCAGUAACACGUGGCCAAGCUACCCUAUGGACGUGGACACCCUCGGGAAACUGAGGCUAAUCCGCGAUACGGCUCCCACGCUUGAAUGCGGGGAGCCGGAAACGCUCCGGCGCCAUAGGAUGCGGCUGCGGCCGAUUAGGUAGACGGUGGGGUAACGGCCCACCGUGCCGAUAAUCGGUACGGGAUGUGAGAGCAAAUAGCCCGGAGAUGGAAUCUGAGACAAGAUUCCAGGCCCUACGGGGCGCAGCAGGCGCGAAACCUUUACACUGCACGCCAGUGCGAUAAGGGGACCCCGAGUGCGAGGGCAUACAGUCCUCGCUUUUGUACACCGUAAGGAGGUGUACGAAUAAGGGCUGGGCAAGACCGGUGCCAGCCGCCGCGGUAAUACCGGCAGCCCGAGUGAUGGCCGCUGUUAUUGGGCCUAAAGCGUCCGUAGCCGGCCGAACAAGUCUGUCGGGAAAUCCAUCCGCCUAACGGAUGGGCGUCCGGCAGAAACUGUUCGGCUUGGGGCCGGAAGAUCCGAGGGGUACGUCCGGGGUAGGAGUGAAAUCCUGUAAUCCUGGACGGACCGCCGGUGGCGAAAGCGCCUCGGAAGGACGGACCCGACGGUGAGGGACGAAAGCUGGGGUCUCGAACCGGAUUAGAUACCCGGGUAGUCCCAGCCGUAAAC
Molecule: ribosomal RNA, 687 nt
Filed under: uncultured euryarchaeote
Lineage: Archaea; Methanobacteriati; Methanobacteriota
Description: bacterial SSU rRNA
Rfam family: Archaeal small subunit ribosomal RNA
Source: RNAcentral